Molecule: small RNA, 1042 nt
Filed under: uncultured Acidimicrobiales bacterium
Lineage: Bacteria; Bacillati; Actinomycetota; Acidimicrobiia; Acidimicrobiales
Description: bacterial SSU rRNA
Rfam family: Bacterial small subunit ribosomal RNA (bases 1-492)
Source: RNAcentral
AUGGCUGUCGUCAGCUCGUGUCGUGAGAUGUUGGGUUAAGUCCCGCAACGAGCGCAGCCCCUAUCCUAUGUUGCCAGCGCGUAAUGGCGGGGACUCGUAGGAGACUGCCGGUGCCAAACCGGAGGAAGGUGGGGACGAAGUCAAGUCAUCAUGCCCCUUACGUCCAGGGCUGCACACGUGCUACAAUGGCCGGUACAAAGGGCUGCAAACUCGCGAGAGUGAGCCAAUCCCAAAAAGCCGGUCUCAGUUCGGAUCGCAGUCUGCAACUCGACUGCGUGAAGUCGGAGUCGCUAGUAAUCGCAGAUCAGCAUUGCUGCGGUGAAUACGUUCCCGGGCCUUGUACACACCGCCCGUCACACCACGAAAGUCGGCAACACCCGAAGCCGGUGGCCCAACCCUUUUGGGAGGGAGCCGUCGAAGGUGGGGUUGGCGAUUGGGGUGAAGUCGUAACAAGGUAGCCGUACCGGAAGGUGCGGCUGGAUCACCUCCUUUCUAAGGAACCAACUGUCCGUGUCCUUGCCAAAUUCGGUGGGGAUCACACACGGAGAGUUCCUACGUCGAUCACUGGUUAAUCGACCAGCGGAAUUCGUCUCGACCCUCGGUCGCCCACCGCAUCCCCAAGGAAAUUUCCACGGGGGAGCGGUCACCGGCCGGGCACCACCGAGCGACCCGUGUGGUCGGGCUUCACUGCUCUGUUGUGAGGGAGCGCUUCCGCGCGCCGGCCUUUUCGGUCGGCGCGUCUUGGCGUCCCUCCGGGAAAUGCGUGUGAUCUCCCGCAUCACCGUCGAGCUCAGCUCCGGUGGAUGCCGCGGUGGUCGGUAGCGCUUCCCGACGCCGUCAUGCUCACCAGAGCGCGGCGUACCCCGUCCCUUGAGAACUGCAUAGCGAGCACGAGCAUCUUUUUUGAAAAUCUCAAGCUAUGAAGAGCCAACGGUGGAUGCCUUGGCGCCAGAUGCCGAUGAAGGACGUGGGUGGCUGCGAUAAGCCACGGGGAGCUGUCGACCGAGCUUUGAUCCGUGGAUCUCCGAAUGGGGAAACCCGG